RNAcentral lists this ribosomal RNA (429 nucleotides) under uncultured archaeon. RNAcentral's name for it is "bacterial SSU rRNA". It matches the Rfam family "Archaeal small subunit ribosomal RNA", at positions 474 to 903 of the family's 1478-position model. The record is from RNAcentral.
UACCAGCUCUCCGAGUAGUGUGGAUGUUUAUUGGGCCUAAAGCAUCCGUAGCUUGCUAAGCAAGUCCCCUGUUAAAUCCACCGAUUUAAUCGUUGGAUUGCGGGGGAUACUGUUUGGCUAGGGGACGGGAGAGGCCGACGGUAUUUCCGGGGUAGGGGUGAAAUCCUAUAAUCCCGGGAAGACCACCAGUGGAGAAGGCUGUCGGCUAGAACGCGCCCGACGGUGAGGGAUGAAAGCUGGGGGAGCGAACCGGAUUAGAUACCCGGGUAGUCCCAGCUGUAAACGAUGCAGGCUAGGUGUUUGGGCGGCCACGUGCCGCUCUAGUGCCGCAAGGAAGCUGUUAAGCCUGCCGCCUGGGGAGUACGGCCGCAAGGCUGAAACUUAAAGGAAUUGGCGGGGGAGCACCACAAGGGGUGAAGCUUGCGGUUU